Molecule: long non-coding RNA, 317 nt
Organism: Oncorhynchus tshawytscha (Chinook salmon)
Lineage: Eukaryota; Metazoa; Chordata; Actinopteri; Salmoniformes; Salmonidae
Source: Ensembl
CGCGGAUGUUUGUGUAGCGCGAGAUGAUGUUUUUGUUGUUCUAAUCUUCUGAAUAUGGCUUCGUAGUUCUUUUGACAAGGCGUAGGGAAAGCCCCCUCCCCAAUUUAUUUCAGCUUGCCUUCAAGCAUCGCUGCAAGAUCUGCGCUACACACACCGUGACACAGCCGAGGAAAUGCGGACUUCUAGCCCUUGGGUUAAAUGGCUGCAGCACCCACACGGUAGCAAGCUGGAACAUAUGGAGAGAGAGAGAGAGAGAGACCCGGGCUCAUGUCAAAACCUGUCACCGCUGCCCAAGCUGGAGUCUGUCAGACUAGUCU